This is a long non-coding RNA of Macrobrachium nipponense, 1166 nucleotides long. RefSeq lists it as uncharacterized. Lineage: Eukaryota; Metazoa; Arthropoda; Malacostraca; Decapoda; Palaemonidae. The transcript is spliced from 4 exons. The record is from RefSeq and is a predicted model, not a curated record.
CUUUGGGGAUUUUCUCAGUGAGUGUAGAGUGUAGACCUGGUGUAGACCCAACCUCCUCUCCCCUGCGGACGAAAGUUUGGCUUAGAUGUGUGUGUGGGAUUUUUCGAAAAUUUUGCUCAUUUCCAUCAUAAAAAACUGUGGAUGGGACAACGUUGGUACUAGACACAGCUGGAAUUUAAAAGAUAUAUAAAUCCUAUUUAAAGGAGACGAAGCAGCACCGCCCUUUGUCGUAUCCUACAGCCUUCAAGGAUACGGAGGAGUUAAAGGACUUCAGUGUGUGGAUUUGCAACUAUGCUAACAAUAGGUUUAGCAUUUCACAGAUAAAUGGAACAGCUACAAAAACGCUAAGGUGUCUACAUCUUUCUAAAGCCCUGUUGCCUAUACUGAGCAUUUGUUGCCGACGAUUACCCCAAAUGAGAACAACAUGCGACGUCAUAUACCUCAUAAGAACAACAUAACAUAAUGUGGGCAAAUGCGACGUCAUAUACCUCAUGAGAAAAACAUGACAUAUAUCUCUAUGCAUGGGCCAUCGGAAUGACACAGUAACUUCAGAUCUACUUAAAGGGCCAUCAGAAUGAGACAGUAACUUCAGAUCUACUUAAAGGCCCAUCAGAAUGACACAGUAUCUUCAGAUCUACGUUUGGAGUCAUCAGAAGUUGGAAAUGCCUACAGAACUCUCAUGCCACUCCAUUACUUCGCCUGACGUCGAAGUGGAAGGACCUUCAGAAGUACAAGAUCAUCAGCUCCCGGAAGAGAAGUGUACAAAAAGAUCCCAUCCAAGAAAGAUCAUCCCAUCCCAAAAGAAAGGAAAAGUUCCCUUCCAAGAAGAGUAGUGUAAAAGGAGUUCCAAGAAGUGUACAAGAAGCUCCUAUCCCAGCAGAGUAGUACAAGAAGCUCCUAUCCCAGCAGAGUAGUAGUACAAGAUCUUAUCCAAGAAGAGAGGUGUACAAAGAAGUUUCCCUCCAAGGAGAAGUGUACAAGCGGAAAGUGUGGAAAGUUCCCAUCGAAGAAGAAAACUUACGAUGACGCAUCAAGAAAGAGAGACCCCAUAACGAAGACACACCAAGAAACAAAACCAUAUCCGCCGGUAAUUCAGGGCAAAAAAAUAUUUUCGUUUGAAAAUUUCUGGACCAGUCAACUUUUAGAUGACUAUAUUUUGAUUAUAA